UGAAGCAGUUCUUUUGUUGAGUUGGUCGGAUCGGCGUUAGUAUUAAUAAAAGGUUCCCAAUCGGUGCUCUCAAAACUUGUGCAGAGGUUAUUCAGACCCGCCUGGGUAAUUGGUCUGAAUUGAAUAUGGUCAUCGUGCACAGAGGAAACAUCAAAGUGUAAUUCCAUAAAAACAGCGGAAUAAUCAGAGAGUGCUGGAUCCUCACUGCCCGCAGUGAACAGAGUGGGGGAUAUAUUGACGAGGAAAUUAUCAAUGCAACUUGACGUAGUUUCAGUUAUACGGGUAUGGUCAGCGACACUAGGGGAGAUUCCAAAGGUGGCAAAGUAGAGGUCAUUUAAAAGAAGUUCUAGCCUGGAUAUAAAUAGAUAAGGGUCGCCGUGGCUCCCCGAUCUAUAUACAUUGAUAACUACGGUAUUUUUGUGGGUUAAUUCAAUGCCGCAAAAUUCGGCAUGGAUGUCUAGUGAGUAUUUAUCUAAAUCUAAAGUUCUACAGUUGACUUUGUGUUUGCUAUAAAUUGAUACGCCCCCUCUGACCGCAGUCUGACGGCAUCGAAAGCUUUUCAAUAGAAAAUUAUUUACACAUAUUGAUUUUAAAAGUUCUUCAUCACAGACAAAGUGUUCAGAUAGACAGAGAAUAUCUACAUUUUUAUCCAGCAAAUAACCGUUGAAGUACCUUUAUUACUUGGGUUGCUGCCCCGAAGCACGCCGACCGAAAAAACGAUUCACGAGCACUCCAGUGGGCC
This is a long non-coding RNA of Cylas formicarius (sweet potato weevil), 742 nucleotides long. RefSeq lists it as uncharacterized. NCBI's taxonomy places the organism in Eukaryota, Metazoa, Arthropoda, Insecta, Coleoptera, Brentidae. The record is from RefSeq and is a predicted model, not a curated record. The transcript has 3 exons.